Molecule: long non-coding RNA, 317 nt
Filed under: Mytilus galloprovincialis (Mediterranean mussel)
Lineage: Eukaryota; Metazoa; Mollusca; Bivalvia; Mytilida; Mytilidae
Source: RNAcentral
GCGGGUUUAAAGAUGCUUCAGUUUUUUUUUAUUUUCAAAAAAGAUCACCCUUGCACCCAAACAAAUCGUGAGUCAAAGCAUUUUGUUUGUUUCCUUGAUUCUGAAUCAUGUAGGCGCUUCCUUGCAAAAAUGCCUUGAUUUAAAACGCUUGUUGACUACAGCAUCGGAAAGGUAUCACCAAAAACCAACGCUUGUUGACUACAGCACCGGAAAGAUAACACCAAUAACCAACAUAGCAAAAAAAAAAAUAGUGGACAAAAAUGGCCAAUAAAAAUUUUCGGGUCGCGGUGAUUUUACCGGGUCGGUCGUGUGAGGGG